UUGAGGUUUCGUCAGCCGAGGUCCGAGCGCAACUUCCCCGAUGUUCCGACCGGAGUUCCUCGCUUCUGAUGUGCAUUUUGUGUCUGGCAAAGAGGAUAAGGAAUAUCGUCUAGUCAUGGAGUAGCGCACCGCCCAUGGGAGUGAUGUGGUGUCUAUGGCGAGGUCGAGGCCAAUCCGCACCUAGUGGAGGUGAAGUGUGAAGUCUUCGCCAGGGGAAAUGAGGAGCACAAGAAUGAGAGGACGAUCAAGAAGAGGAUGAGGAAGGCCACUCACGGGUUAUCCAGCUUGAGUUGGACGACGGCAUUGAUUGGGACAACCUCGCACUCAUAGUGGUGAGUGUAUUUUGUACACUCAUUACACCAUUGUUUAAACCGGGCAUUUCGAGAUAAUCACUUUGAUUUUAUCACUAAGGACUAAUAAAUGCAAAACAUUGCAAAUCCCUUUGUAUAGUUUGUUUCUACAGGUUUUGAACCAUAAAAGGGAAGGAAAUGGAGCAACACAUGGAAAUAUGAUGAUAUUAUAUCAAGCCAUAUCAAAGGGGGCGCCACAAGCUAUCUAGAAGAGAAGACGAUGUUUGGUACGCUCGUACCAUGCACCGCUGGCACCGUGAUGUCAUCCCUAUCAACCUUCAUAAAACGUGUGAGGCCCUAUUCACAAUGAAACGACCUCGAAGGCACGCCAUACACAACAGAGAAUAAGGAUCAUCUGUCCCAGAAACCCUCUCCACUGCCAUCAUCAUCGCCAUCUCCAUCUCCAUACCCACUCUCCCAUAGUUUUCCAUACUUUAUGCCAAUGAUUCAUCUACCAUCAAUGUCAUCUACAAUGUUUUCCAUCUUUGAUUCGAUUGCGAUGUGUGCGUAACCCCUUGAGGCAAUGGGCUGAGGCAUAAGCCUUGCAGCCCUCUAUACUUGUACAUAGGUAAGAUCCUAAGUGCAAGUAUAAGGUUGUAAGUAAAGUCCUCAUACUCAUGCCUAUAUCCAUCUAUUUGAUCUCCCUAUUUGUCAAAACUACUAUUUGUUCAGUCCCGGAAAUGGAAACUUCUUAUGAGAAUAAUAACUUGCUUGAAUCCAUGUCUAAUAGCAAAACUUCCCAUGGGUUCGAUACCUAGGGUCACCCUUGAGGAAAGAGUGAGUACUAUCUACAUCUAAAACUAGAUCAAAGGUAACCAACUAGUAAUGAUGAGUAGUGUGUCUAUUGUAGUACCAUUGUUUUCAUGUUUUAAGUUUGAACUCAUGUUUAACUUUAAACAUUUGUAGUUAGAAAAUGUUGAAAUGUGCAAUGUUGUUUCCCUAUUUUGCAUCAUCUACUAUGGCAGAAAAUUUUCUAGUGCACUAUUGUACAUCAUUUGCUGAUGCAGAAAAUUUGCUGGUGAC
This 1373-nucleotide long non-coding RNA is filed under the name Triticum aestivum (bread wheat). RNAcentral describes it as "long non-coding RNA (TAES_LNC015960)". The record is from RNAcentral. Lineage: Eukaryota; Viridiplantae; Streptophyta; Magnoliopsida; Poales; Poaceae.